GGACGGUAGCGCGCGCCGCUCAAACUUGUUGCGAGACCAAUUUUCCGAAAAUCCCAAAUUCUCUGCGGUGCAUUGGCCAGUUCACCCAAAAACACCCACACACACCAUCACUGUCUCACUUUCGUUUCGCGAUUGAUUGCCAGCUCUCCGGAGACCAAGAACCAAAAUAAUAGAAAAAGGCACCCGAUACCAAACCGCAAACCGAUCGAGUUACAAAAAAAAACACAAAAAUAAAGAAACUAAACAAAAGUAAAUCGCCUAGCAAAGAGCCUUCAAGACGGCAGCCACAAUUUCCAGCGCAGGAUUAGGAGGAGACGUCGCCGCGUACGCUGAUCUCCACCAGCACUCGCAUUCGCACCAUCCGAAUCCGCAUCCACAUCCGCAUCCACAUCCCCAUCCGUUUGCCACCGACGGCUUCAAGCUGCGUUCCGAAGAGCCGGUGCCGGGCUUCAGCUCGGCCUCCCCCUGGCCCACCCUGGAGCUGGGCAUGGAGUGGGGCCGGAAGCUGUACCCCAGUGCCGUUUCCGGUCCGCGAUCCGCCAGCGGCCUGAUGUUCGGCCUGCCGCCCACCGCCGCUGUGGACAUGAACCAGCCGCGUGGACCGAUGACCUCGCUGAAGGAGGAGCCGCUGGGCAGCCGGUGGGCCAUGCAGCCAGUCGUCGACCAGAGCAAUUUGGGCAUCGGCCGCGCCCACUUUGAGAAGCAGCCGCCCAGCAAUUUGCGCAAGUCGAACUUCUUCCACUUCGUGAUCGCCUUAUAUGAUCGGGCUGGACAGCCCAUCGAGAUUGAGCGCACGGCCUUCAUUGGAUUCAUCGAGAAGGACUCGGAGUCGGACGCCACCAAGACGAACAAUGGCAUCCAGUACCGACUGCAGUUGCUCUACGCAAAUGGAGCUCGCCAGGAGCAGGACAUUUUCGUGCGACUCAUCGAUUCGGUGACCAAGCAGGCCAUCAUAUACGAGGGUCAGGACAAGAAUCCCGAGAUGUGCCGCGUGCUCCUAACGCACGAGGUGAUGUGCAGCCGCUGCUGUGAUAAGAAGAGCUGUGGUAACCGCAACGAGACGCCAUCGGACCCCGUCAUUAUUGAUCGCUUCUUCCUGAAGUUCUUCUUGAAGUGCAAUCAAAACUGCCUGAAGAACGCCGGCAACCCGCGGGAUAUGCGCCGAUUUCAGGUGGUAAUUUCUACGCAGGUGGCCGUGGAUGGACCACUACUGGCCAUCUCCGACAACAUGUUCGUGCACAACAACUCGAAGCACGGACGGAGGGCCAAGCGGCUGGACACCACGGAAGGUCUUUACCCACCGCUGCCAGUGGCCACGCCGUGCAUUAAGGCGAUCUCGCCCAGCGAAGGCUGGACAACCGGUGGCGCCACCGUGAUCAUAGUGGGCGACAACUUCUUCGAUGGCCUCCAGGUUGUGUUCGGUACCAUGCUGGUCUGGAGCGAGCUGAUCACCUCGCAUGCCAUCCGGGUGCAGACACCGCCCAGGCACAUUCCCGGCGUGGUGGAGGUGACGCUGUCCUACAAGAGCAAACAGUUCUGCAAGGGAUCACCCGGUCGCUUCGUCUAUGUCUCUCUCAACGAACCCACAAUCGACUACGGUUUCCAGCGCCUGCAGAAGCUCAUUCCCCGGCAUCCCGGCGAUCCCGAGAAGCUCCAAAAGGAGAUAAUCCUCAAGAGGGCCGCCGAUCUGGUCGAGGCACUAUACUCCAUGCCCAGAUCUCCGGGCGGUUCGACGGGCUUCAAUUCCUAUGCGGGCCAACUGGCGGUCAGUGUCCAGGAUGGUACCGGCCAGUGGACCGAGGACGACUACCAGCGUGCCCAGUCGAGCAGCGUGAGUCCACGCGGUGGCUACUGCAGCAGCGCCUCCACGCCGCACAGCUCGGGAGGAUCCUACGGUGCCACGGCGGCCAGUGCAGCGGUGGCGGCCACGGCGAAUGGAUAUGCACCUACACCCAACAUGGGCACACUCUCCUCGUCGCCCGGCAGCGUCUUCAACUCCACGUCAAUGUCCGCCGUGUCGUCGACGUGGCACCAGGCGUUCGUGCAGCACCACCACGCGGCAACGGCCCACCCGCACCACCACUACCCACAUCCCCACCAGCCGUGGCACAAUCCGGCCGUGUCAGCAGCCACGGCGGCGGCCGUUUAAGCGUUUCCCGGACUCCCCAUGCCAGCCAGAUGGAGCUGAACGCAGGAUGAAGAUGUGGAGGAGGAUGAGGAUGAUGUACCAGGUUGAGCCGGACUUUUGGGGCCGAGUAACGACAUUUUGUUGAAAUUAAAUGCCACACGCCCAACACCACCCACAACCACCCACAAACCACCCACAAGUCCGAGCGAAAAGCGCACACACACGGCCAGACACCAUCUAUCAAUCCGAAACUGCAAGGACGCCCACAAUUGGCCCUCGGGUGUGUGAAUGGGUGUGUGGAUGGGGCCGCUGAAGCAAAACUGAGCAUUCAAAACACUACUCCACCAUCAACAAAACACCACAGACAACACACGAUUAACGGGGUCAGCAGUCUGAGCUUCAAUCCCUUCGCCCUGCCCACCUGCAACACACAGGGCUACAGCACCCAACUGGUGACGUCAACCAAAUAAU
This 2599-nucleotide unclassified non-coding RNA is filed under the name Drosophila yakuba. RNAcentral describes it as "GE12286". The record is from RNAcentral. Lineage: Eukaryota; Metazoa; Arthropoda; Insecta; Diptera; Drosophilidae.